RNAcentral lists this ribosomal RNA (253 nucleotides) under uncultured bacterium. RNAcentral describes it as "partial 16S ribosomal RNA". It matches the Rfam family "Bacterial small subunit ribosomal RNA", at positions 524 to 776 of the family's 1533-position model. The record is from RNAcentral.
UACGUAGGGGGCUAGCGUUGUCCGGAAUCAUUGGGCGUAAAGAGCGUGUAGGCGGUCCGGUAAGUCCGCUGUGAAAGUCGGGGGCUCAACCCUCGAAUGCCGGUGGAUACUGUCGGGCUAGAGUGCGGAAGAGGCGAGUGGAAUUCCCGGUGUAGCGGUGAAAUGCGUAGAUAUCGUAAGGAAGACCAGUGGCGAAGGCGGGUCUCUGGACAGUUCCUGACGCUGAGGCACGAAGGUCAGGGGAGCAAACGGG